CCUAUCCAGGAUGACAAGUUGAUCUCGUACAUCCCGCACGGGCUGGACGUCGACUAUCAGCCGCUUGUCUCAGCCCUCGACGCCCGCAUCACACCUGUUACUCUCGAUGAGCUCUACGCCAUGAUGAGUAACUUUGAUC
This 139-nucleotide small nucleolar RNA is filed under the name Triticum aestivum (bread wheat). Its description in RNAcentral is "Small nucleolar RNA Z247". It matches the Rfam family "Small nucleolar RNA Z247". From Rfam's summary of the family: Z247 is a member of the C/D class of snoRNA which contain the C (UGAUGA) and D (CUGA) box motifs. The record is from Rfam by way of RNAcentral. Lineage: Eukaryota; Viridiplantae; Streptophyta; Magnoliopsida; Poales; Poaceae.